This 585-nucleotide long non-coding RNA is filed under the name Mustela putorius furo (domestic ferret). RNAcentral's name for it is "lncRNA (ENSMPUG00000028538.1)". Lineage: Eukaryota; Metazoa; Chordata; Mammalia; Carnivora; Mustelidae. The record is from RNAcentral.
CACUUCCUGAGCUGAGGAGUCGCCGUGGCCUGGCCGCAGAGCGACAGACUCUGCGUCUCACAGAGGCAUUGCUGAGUCCCCGGGGGAAGGACGCUGUGGAAAGGACGCCCCCCACAGCCGCCACACUUAGGGCUGCUCGCGCGAAUGGCGGGUUAGAGCCCUCAGCGGCCCCCCAAAGGACAGAAAACCUUGACUCAGCAAAAUGAACAAUAUCUACGGACAGGCCCAGAGAGACUGCAAGGCAGAAAUGUCCAGCGCUCCCGCUACCCUAGCUUGGGCCCAGACGAGCCAGGAGGGUACCUUCCGACAACCUCAGCAUCAGUUCCUCCCGAUGCCAAGUGAGGGGUGCUAGGAGCCCCCAGCUGAGCCUGUCUACCCAGGACGGUGGAGGUAAUAGUACACUGUUGUUUCAAGCCACACAGUUCGGGUGGUUUGCUGGCCCACGCUCUUAACUGGGCAUAGGGUCUGUGGUGAAGGCGUGGCGUAGACAUUAUGGCCGACACGAGGAAACAGUGUUUGUAGGGGCUCAUCCAGCUGGAGCAGGUAAGCAAAGCUCACACCAGAACAGUUGCGAGAACCCCACAC